GAUGAAGAACGCAGCGAAAUGCGAUAAGUAAUGUGAAUUGCAGAAUUCAGUGAAUCAUCGAAUCUUUGAACGCACAUUGCGCCCGCCAGUAUUCUGGCGGGCAUGCCUGUUCGAGCGUCAUUUCAACCAUCAAGCCCCCGGCUUGUGUUGGGGACCCUGCGGCUGCCCGCAGGCCCUGAAAACCAGUGGCGGGCUCGCUGUCACUCCGAGCGUAGUAGCAUAUAUCUCGCUCAGGGCGUGCUGCGGGUUCCGGCCGUUAAAAGCCUUUUUUUUACCCAAGGUUGACCUCGGAUCAGGUAGGAAGACCCGCUGAACUUAAGCAUAUCAAUAAGCGGAGGA
This 339-nucleotide unclassified non-coding RNA is filed under the name soil metagenome. RNAcentral describes it as "partial contains 5.8S ribosomal RNA, internal transcribed spacer 2, and large subunit ribosomal RNA". The stretch from base 1 to 120 matches the Rfam family "5.8S ribosomal RNA", at positions 35 to 154 of the family's 154-position model. The record is from RNAcentral.